This 96-nucleotide microRNA precursor is filed under the name Nicotiana attenuata. Its description in RNAcentral is "MIR6152 microRNA precursor family". It matches the Rfam family "MIR6152 microRNA precursor family". The record is from Rfam by way of RNAcentral. Lineage: Eukaryota; Viridiplantae; Streptophyta; Magnoliopsida; Solanales; Solanaceae.
UGGACAGAUUAUUGUAUCCGACUGUAUUCAGGGCGUGAAACAGGGGAUUACACUGUUUUUAAACGGAAAGUGAAUCAGUUAACAUAAUAGACUCCU